UCCUAUGGAGCAGUUACACUCUGUAUCGCAUGGGGUCACCAGGAGUUGGAAUCGACUCAACAGCAACGGGUUAUGUGGGCUCUUAAGCAAUCACUAGCUCCUCUGGUAUAAAAUUCAUCUGCCCCUAAAAACCUGUUCCCCUUCCGUUUCAUUCCUAUUACAUAAAAUACCAAAACCUUAGAAUCAUCUUCUGUUCCUUCCUCAUCCCUUACUCCCAAGGGCUACAGUUUCAGUGUUCCCAAUUCUACCUUCAAAAAUGUCUUUCAGAUCUAUGCAACCUAUUUUGAAAUGAGUAAAAAAAAAAAAGGAUGGAUAGAUAGAUAGAUAUGUGAUAAAGCAAAUAUGUAUAGUAAAAUGCUAAUUAUAGCAUCUAGGUAGUGAGUACAUGUGUUCACCGUACAAUUCUUUCAACUCUUUUAUACUUGAAAUUUUUAAAUAAAAUAUUGAAGAAAAAAAAAAGGUCUCUACAUUCUGCCUUGAGUACUAUGCUCUUUCAAGAACUAUUUAUACCAGCACAAACUGACAACAGCAACUCAAAAGACCUACAGGUACCUCAGGGGGCAGUGGGUUUAUGUUAAUGGGGAAGGGACAACUCAGGAGGGUAAGAAUAGCUGCACAACUCAAAGAAUGUAAUCAGUGUCACUGAACUGUACAUGUGGAAGCUGUUGAAUUGGUGUGUGUUUUUGUGUUUUUGCUGUAUAUAUUCUCAGCAAAAAUAAAUAAAUAAAUUUUUUAAACAUAUAGGAAGGACAUCGUAUUUUUAUGGCAAUUUACUCUGGGGAGGGAGGGGCAUGAUCCUGAGAGCAAAGGUAAAUUUAACUUUAUUGCAUGUUUACUUUUUAGUAGGAAAAAAGAUCUGAAGCAAAUAUAACAAAAGUUACACAAAAGAAGACUUCAGCUUCUGUCUUGGUACACUCUCUUGGAUGAUUCGCUCUGGGAAAAGCCAGCUGCCACGUCACAGGCACUCAAACAGCCUAUGGAGAAGUCCAUGUGGUAAGCAACAAGUCCUCCAGCCCUAACCAGUGAACAACUGAGGGCUGCCAACACCCCAGUCAAGCCGUGAGGUGACUGCAGCCCUAGCCAACAGACUGACUGCAACCUCGUGAAACACCUUAAGCCACUCCACUCCCCGGUUCUUCACUCUGAGAAACUGUUGGAGAUAAUAAAGGUGUGGGGUAAUUUGUUAUACAGCAAUAGAUAACGAAUACACCUCUCCUCCAAUCUACUCCUCACACUGCCAGCAGUAUUGUCCUAAAAUACAAUGGUGUCAGUCUGCGCCUCCCUGCUUCAGUAGCAUCUUACUGUCAAGAGAACGCUGGUGAUCACCACACCUUACCUUGUGCUACAGGUUAACUCGGUUUUGUACAGACUUUCUGUGCAUAUGAGAACUUCCUGUAAAUGUGUCAUUGAUUAGUAAUAGGUUUUUGUUUUUUUUAAUUUAGGCAUGCAUAUGUACAAAUUACAGAAUACAUUCGUCACAAUCAUUUAUGCCAGACAAGUCUCACAUACCUCGUCUUAGUCUUUGUUCUCAUCACUGUGUAAGGGUGAGUCAUGCAAUUGUAGUUAAGUAUGCAACCUAUCUUAGAAACUUUGGCAUUUUUAGGUUUGGGUGUUAUUGUAUUAGUUUCCCAGGGCUGCUCCAACAAACUACCACAAAAUGGGUGGCUACAAACAACAGAAACUUAUUCUCUCACAGUUCGGUAAGCUAGAAAUCCAAAAUUAAGCUGUUAGCAGAGUUGGUUCCUUCCAGAGGCUUGAGGAAGAAUCUGUUCCACGCCUGUCUCCUAGCUUCUGGGGGUUGCUGGUAACCCUUGGCGUUCCUUGGCUUGUAGUUGUGUCACUCCAAUCUCUGCCUCCAUCAUCACAUGGCCUUCUUAUAGGGACACCAGUCAUUGGAUUUACGGCCACUCUAAUCCCCUCUGACCUCAUCUUAAUUGAUUAUACUACACAGACCCUAUUUCCAAAUAAGGUCACAUUCUGAGGAUCCAGGUGGAUAUGAAUUUUGGGGGGAACACUACUCAACCCAGCACAGUUGCUUCUUGUGUGAUUUUUAUAGUUGUGAUCAUAACUACAAGUAGCUCUUAGAUUAGGGAUUCAAUUUAAAAUGAAACUUUCCUACUUUACUCUUCCUAAGCUUCCAAUUAAAUUCAAGUGUGCAGAGAUCAUUAGGUAGAGCUAUUAAGAAAACUUUUAUUUUUUCCAAGUAAUCCCUGGGAAUCAAUAUUUUCUUCAUAUAGAAAAAACAACAAAAAAAAAAAAACUGGUUUCUUCUUUACUCUAGUUUUAAUUUUAUUUUACUUCCCAAAAUAGCCUCACUGGACUCUCUAAUCAACAUUAGAUACUAAAAAAUAAAUUUAGAAGUAUUUUACGAAUUUAUAUUAAACACUAUUUUAUUUGUUUUAUAUAUAUUGAGGUUCUUAGUAAGAUUCCAUUUUUUAAAAAACAGUGCUUCCAGAAAGCUAAACACAGUUCAAGCAUUCAAUCCAGCAAUCUCACUCAGAGGUAAUUACACAAAUGGAAUGAAAACUUAAGUCCACAUAAAAACUUGCACAAAUGUUUAUACCAGCCUUACUCAUAAUUGCCAAAAACUUGAAGCAGCCAAGAUGUCCGUCGGAAAGUGAAAGGAUAAAUGAACGUAAUACAUUCAUACAGUGAAGUAUUUUAUAGUGAUAAAAAGAACAGAACUAUCAAGCCGUGAAAAAAUAAGGAGGAACGUUAGAUGCAUAUUGCUAAGUCAGAAAAGCCAGUCUGAAAAAGGGGCAUACUAUAUGACUCCAGCUAUAUCACAUUCUGGAAAAAGCAAAAUUAUAAAGACAGUGAAAACAUUAGUAGUUGCCAGGAAGUCAGGGAGAGAGGGAGGGAUAAAGAGUUGGAUUGUAGGGCCUUUUUAGGGCAGCGAAACCAUUCAGUAUAGUACUAUAAUUGCGGACACGAUAGUAAGCAUUGUUGAAGACCCAUAGAACCACACAACCCAAAAAGUGAACAUGCAUAGAGUCACCAUGAGUCACAAUAAACUCAAUGACACCUGAUUUUAGGAGUCCCUGGGAGGUGCAAAUGGGUAAGUGCUCUGCUACUAACCAAUCAGUUGGUGGCUUGAAUCCUCUGAGAGGCACCUUGAAAGAAAGGCCUGACAAUCUACUUCCAAAAAAUCACCCACUGAAAAUUCUAUGGAGCACAGUUCUACUCUGACACACUCGGAGUGGCUAUGAGUCAGAACUGACUCAAUGGCAAAUGGUUUGGUUUUAUUGGUUUGAGCAGUGCAAAUGGUUAACGUGCUCAGCUGCUAACCGAAAGGCUGGAGGUUCAAGUACACCCUGAGCACUACAGAAGAAAGGGCUGGUGAUCUACCUCCCAAAAACCAGCCAUUAAAAACCCUGUGGAACACAGUUCUACUAUGACACACAUGGGGUUGCCAUGAGUCUGGUGUCAGCUCAAUGGCAACUGGUUUUAAUGUAAACUAUACGGAAGCAGUGCUUCAGGGGUCGAAUUCUUGCCUUCCACACAGGAGACCUGGGUUCAAAUCUCAACCAAUGCAUCUCAUACGUAGUCACCACCUGUCUGUCAGUGGAGGCUAUGAUGCUGAACAUGUUUCUGUGGAGCUUCCAAACUAAGACUAGGAAGAAAGACCUGGCAAUCCACUUCCAAAAAUCAGCCAAACUUUCCAAUCCACAACUGAUCAUGGGGAUGGCGCAGCACUGGGCAGUGUUUGUACAUGAGCUUGCCUUAAGCUGGGGGGACUGACUCAAAGGCAGCUAAUAACAACACGGACUUUAGGUAAUAAUGUAUUGAUACUGACAUUGAUUCAUCACGUGUAACAAACAGACCUCAGGAAUGCAAGAUGUUAACAGGAGAAAUGAUGUGCAGGGGGAGGGGGCACAUGCAAACUUGGUACUCUCUGCAUCAUUUUUCUGUAAACCUAAAACUGCUCUUUUUAAAAAAAAAAAAAAAAAUUCUAUAAAAAAAAAUACACACACAAC
Molecule: long non-coding RNA, 3977 nt
Organism: Loxodonta africana (African savanna elephant)
Lineage: Eukaryota; Metazoa; Chordata; Mammalia; Proboscidea; Elephantidae
Exons: 2
Source: RefSeq, a predicted model, not a curated record